This 388-nucleotide ribosomal RNA is filed under the name uncultured bacterium. Its description in RNAcentral is "bacterial SSU rRNA". It matches the Rfam family "Bacterial small subunit ribosomal RNA", at positions 28 to 417 of the family's 1533-position model. The record is from RNAcentral.
GACGAACGCUGGCGGCGUGCUUAACACAUGCAAGUCGAGCGGUAAGGCCCUUUCGGGGGUACACGAGCGGCGAACGGGUGAGUAACACGUGGGUGACCUGCCCUCAGCUCUGGGAUAAGCCUGGGAAACCGGGUCUAAUACCGGAUAUGACUCCAUGACGCAUGUUGUGGGGUGGAAAGCCUUGUGCGGCUGGGGAUGGGCCCGCGGCCUAUCAGCUUGUUGGUGGGGUGAUGGCCUACCAAGGCGACGACGGGUAGCCGGCCUGAGAGGGCGACCGGCCACACUGGGACUGAGACACGGCCCAGACUCCUACGGGAGGCAGCAGUGGGGAAUAUUGCGCAAUGGGCGAAAGCCUGACGCAGCGACGCCGCGUGAGGGAUGAAGGCCU